GUUUUAAAAUUGAUGCAAUAGUAUGCUUGUGGUACACACAAAAUAACUUACUCUUUUACGACACUAUGUUUUGUUUGUUUGUUUUGCGGAUGUGUGUUUUGUUUUGCUUUGCAGUAGUGGGGAUGGAACCCAGGGCCUCAUGCAUGCUGGGCAAGUGCUUUACCACAUCUUCAUCCCCCAUCAUAUGAAUUCUAGCAAAAGCAUACAGUCAUUUAACCAUAACUACAGUCGAAAUCUUGACAUUUCAUCACUUAAAAAUCUCCCCUUGAUCUUUGUAGGCAACCCUUCCCUCCUUAUCUUUGGCAACCUCAGAUCUAUUUUUUUUUGAUCCCUACAAUUUUGUCUUUUCCAGAAUAUCAUAUAAAUGAGAUUUUUUAAAUGUAGUUUUUUUUAGACUUUCUCCCACUUAGCACAGUGCACUUGAGUCAUCCUUGUCACAAGUAUCAGCAGGUGAUUGCUUUCGGUUGCUGAGUGGUAUUCCACCAUAUAGACAUACUAAAGUGUGUUUUUCCAUA
This 515-nucleotide long non-coding RNA is filed under the name Marmota monax (woodchuck). The record is from RNAcentral. Lineage: Eukaryota; Metazoa; Chordata; Mammalia; Rodentia; Sciuridae.